AUGUCUCUGCGGAGCCUCGCACUGUGUCACCCCACCGCCCUAGCGGACGCUCAGCCAGGAGGCCAGGGACGCGCUGGCGCCACAGCUGGCCAAGUGUUGCUUGCCUGCCUUGAACAUAAUAGGACUUCACUCCUUGGACAGUGUUCCACCUCCUACUUGGGCCACAAGUUUAGCUUGACUUUUCACCAAGUUAAGGCCCAGAAGUGAAGUUUGACUCCAUCAAGGAAAAGUGGUAAGUGAUCCUACAUGG
This 250-nucleotide long non-coding RNA is filed under the name Chinchilla lanigera (long-tailed chinchilla). RNAcentral's name for it is "lncRNA (ENSCLAG00000023018.1)". Lineage: Eukaryota; Metazoa; Chordata; Mammalia; Rodentia; Chinchillidae. The record is from RNAcentral.